ACAUUUGCAUUUGGGUUAAUUGCAUACAAGUUCUCACAAACAUAGUGAAUUACAAAUAUAUUUCUAUAAAAUUCAACUUUCAUAAAUUAAUAAGUUAUUUCUACAAAUGUUUCAAUAUUUUUAGAUAUAUUCCUCUGAUUUGUUACCAUUAGAGAACCGUUUAUAUUUCUAAUUUUUCCAUCACAAAUAUAUCCCUGAGUAAAAUAAAUAUAUUAAUUCUUAUCUAGUUUUACCUUACA
This 239-nucleotide long non-coding RNA is filed under the name Ananas comosus (pineapple). Its description in RNAcentral is "long non-coding RNA (ACOM_LNC025283)". The record is from RNAcentral. Lineage: Eukaryota; Viridiplantae; Streptophyta; Magnoliopsida; Poales; Bromeliaceae.